AUCGCCUAUAUGAAGUCGGAAUUGCUAGUAAUCGCAGAUCAGCAUGCUGCGGUGAAUACGUUCCCGGGCCUUGUACACACCGCCCGUCACACCAUGAGAGUCGAUAACACCCGAAGCCUGUAGUCUAACCAUAAGGAGGACGCAGUCGAAGGUGGGAUUGAUAAUUAGGGUGAAGUCGUAACAAGGUAGC
Molecule: ribosomal RNA, 190 nt
Filed under: uncultured bacterium
Lineage: Bacteria
Description: partial 16S ribosomal RNA
Rfam family: Bacterial small subunit ribosomal RNA
Source: RNAcentral